RNAcentral lists this ribosomal RNA (470 nucleotides) under uncultured bacterium. RNAcentral describes it as "partial 16S ribosomal RNA". It matches the Rfam family "Bacterial small subunit ribosomal RNA", at positions 28 to 507 of the family's 1533-position model. The record is from RNAcentral.
GACGAACGCUGGCGGCGUGCUUAACACAUGCAAGUCGAACGGUGAACGAGGGAGCUUGCUCCCUCCGGAUCAGUGGCGAACGGGUGAGUAACACGUGAGCAAUCUGCCCCGAACUCUGGGAUAAGCGUUGGAAACGACGUCUAAUACCGGAUACGACGCGGGAGGGCAUCCUCUCCGCGUGGAAAGAACUUCGGUUCGGGAUGAGCUCGCGGCCUAUCAGCUUGUUGGUGAGGUAACGGCUCACCAAGGCGACGACGGGUAGCCGGCCUGAGAGGGUAACCGGCCACACUGGGACUGAGACACGGCCCAGACUCCUACGGGAGGCAGCAGUGGGGAAUAUUGCACAAUGGGCGCAAGCCUGAUGCAGCAACGCCGCGUGAGGGACGACGGCCUUCGGGUUGUAAACCUCUUUUAGCAGGGAAGAAGCGAAAGUGACGGUACCUGCAGAAAAAGCACCGGCUAACUACGUG